RNAcentral lists this unclassified non-coding RNA (339 nucleotides) under uncultured Trametes. RNAcentral's name for it is "sequence contains ITS1". The stretch from base 1 to 105 matches the Rfam family "5.8S ribosomal RNA", at positions 50 to 154 of the family's 154-position model. The record is from RNAcentral. RNAcentral also lists the same sequence under 1 other name. Lineage: Eukaryota; Fungi; Basidiomycota; Agaricomycetes; Polyporales; Polyporaceae.
GAAAUGCGAUAAGUAAUGUGAAUUGCAGAAUUCAGUGAAUCAUCGAAUCUUUGAACGCACCUUGCGCUCCUUGGUAUUCCGAGGAGCAUGCCUGUUUGAGUGUCAUGGAAUUCUCAACUUAUAAAUCCUUGUGAUCUAUAAGCUUGGACUUGGAGGCUUGCUGGCCCUUGUUGGUCGGCUCCUCUUGAAUGCAUUAGCUCGAUUCCGUACGGAUCGGCUCUCAGUGUGAUAAUUGUCUACGCUGUGACCGUGAAGUGUUUUGGCGAGCUUCUAACCGUCCAUUAGGACAACUUUUUAACAUCUGACCUCAAAUCAGGUAGGACUACCCGCUGAACUUAA